RNAcentral lists this ribosomal RNA (253 nucleotides) under uncultured bacterium. Its description in RNAcentral is "partial 16S ribosomal RNA". It matches the Rfam family "Bacterial small subunit ribosomal RNA", at positions 524 to 776 of the family's 1533-position model. The record is from RNAcentral.
UACGAAGGGGGCGAGCGUUGUUCGGAUUUACUGGGCGUAAAGGGCGCGUAGGCGGCGCGACAAGUCAGGCGUGAAAGCCCCGGGCUCAACCUGGGAAUGGCGCUUGGGACUGUUGUGCUUGAGUUCGGGAGAGGAGCGUGGAAUUCCUAGUGUAGAGGUGAAAUUCGUAGAUAUUGGGAAGAACACCGGUGGCGAAGGCGGCGCUCUGGACCGAGACUGACGCUGAGGCGCGAAAGCGUGGGUAGCAAACAGG